AGUCCGUACCCACACGCCACUGUCCCGAGGAGACGCACAUCACAUCGCUCGGCCUCCCACCCAUCGCCCACGCACGCAUCUCUCCCCCCAUCGCCCAUCGCCAACUCCUGAUCCAAUCCCUCCUCUCGGCACCCAUCGCCCCCAUCCCCAAUCCCCGACCAUCCUCUCACUAGAUCCCAAUCCCUCCUCUGUCGCCCCUAUCCCCAAUCCCUCCUCUAGCUGCGGUUCUUCGAUUCGGCAGUCGGAGAUGGCACGACGGUCGAAGAUGGCGAGGUGGCGGUCGGAGAUGGCGCGGCGGCGGUUGGAGAUGGCUACAGCGUGCAUGGCCAGAAGGCGCACACUCAAGCGGAGGGUGGCGGAAGCGGCGGCGAAAGCCGCAGCGUAAGUGGAGUCUACAGAGGACCACGUUCAGCGACAAGUAGAAUACUGGAGGCGUGGGUUUUGGGUGUCUCUCAAAGGCAAGAACAAGGAUGAAAGUAGUGUGGACUCACCACAUCCAUGUGGUGGAAGGUGACGAGGAGGCGGGUGGCAUGGUGGUGGUGUGGUUGGCGCCGACGGCAUCUACUUCACCACCGAGUUGGAGCAACAAGAUGGUAGUGACGUCUCCGAUGUGGAGCAACAUCCCGACGGCGGCGCCCCUCCCGACUCCGAGUUACAAGUGGGUGGUGGAGGGCACCGUGUGGAGCGGUGCUCGGCACUAAGGACAUCUACUUCGUCCCCAAGUCAGAGCUGCAAGGUGGUAGCGAUGUCCCUGACUUCGAAGAGCAAGUGGGUGCUGGGGUGCCUAACGGAGAGCAGCAGCUGAACAACGGCCUCUUCACCGACUUGGACGAUCAACAGAUGGAUGACGUUGAAGAGCCGAUUGAUGUAGAGGAGAUGGCCAUCCUAGGAGAUGAUGAUGACACAGUGGCUGGCGACGAGGGCAUCGACGAAUUUGCUGAAAUUCGUGAAGUCCUGACAGCAAGAAAGAAGCCUUGUGCAUAUGAUGAAAAGCGUCAACAAAGCCACUCCUCUCCCGAUCAGAGCUUGCAGGUUGAGAUCAAGUUGGAGGGCAGCAUUACCAUAUUCUUCGUCUUGCACAUCAUCUUGUCGGAGACCAUGUUCUUCACCGCACUCUUCAUCUUCUUGUAGUGCUAGGUUCAGAUCUAUGUUCAUUGUGGCCUCGUGUAUUUGUUGGGUUGUGGAUGGAUGGUGUUGAGUUCUCUCUUGAUGGAUGUUGUGGAUGGAGGAGAGUGUUUUGAUGCUUAAGUGUGCUAGCGCUAGUGAUUUUUGAGCUUGGUUUUGAUUUAUGUAAGCAGGCAAGCCAUGUGAUUUGGCACGCCUUCAGCUGUAAUAUUUGGCGCUUAGCGGUUCAAAUUUUGUUUUGUCUAUCGCUUGUGAUUAUUGAGUAGAUUUUUAAUGUGUUCACACUUUAGCCUCUAUA
This is a long non-coding RNA of Oryza sativa Japonica Group (Japanese rice), 1423 nucleotides long. RefSeq lists it as uncharacterized. NCBI's taxonomy places the organism in Eukaryota, Viridiplantae, Streptophyta, Magnoliopsida, Poales, Poaceae. The record is from RefSeq and is a predicted model, not a curated record.